GAGAGAGAGAGAGAAUCCAACCUUGUGAAGCCACCUCUUGAUCAGGCCCUAAUUCAUUGAGAUCCAAUCGAUUUGGGUCACUUAGAUUAGACCGAUGAUCAAGCUUAGAUCGAGGUCGGAUCGAGAGUCUCUUUUUCAUUUUAAUUUUUUCUAAUUGAAGGCUAAUAAAAUUUUAAAUUGCUUGUGGUAGAGUUUUCAAUGCUAGAGGAGCACC
Molecule: long non-coding RNA, 214 nt
Filed under: Elaeis guineensis (African oil palm)
Lineage: Eukaryota; Viridiplantae; Streptophyta; Magnoliopsida; Arecales; Arecaceae
Description: long non-coding RNA (EGUI_LNC033487)
Source: RNAcentral